This is a long non-coding RNA of Papaver somniferum (opium poppy), 1216 nucleotides long. RefSeq lists it as uncharacterized. The transcript has 4 exons. The record is from RefSeq and is a predicted model, not a curated record. NCBI's taxonomy places the organism in Eukaryota, Viridiplantae, Streptophyta, Magnoliopsida, Ranunculales, Papaveraceae.
AUUUAUAUCCAUUUUUAAGGAGAAAAAAAACUUAUUAUGGGAUUGAGAAAAGUGCUAAGCAAGGGCAGAUUUAUGUUUUUAUUUAAUUUGAAGUUUUAAUUACUUACGCAAUCGUUUUGAAUUUGAAUUUUAAUCCAAAUUGAUCUGAUUUGCAUGAAAUAUUCUGUGAAACAAUUGAAUUUUGGGCUUUCCACAACAUCAAUUUACAUAUUGAAUUUUGGCUUUCCACAGCAUCAACUCUUAGGAUUUAUUUUUUUCGUCAUCAAUUGGCAUUUGUUUAGAUCAGACCUCAAAUUCAACAGCAAAUAGGUCGGAGAUGUUCCUAAUAUAUACAUGGUUGCUACACUAAUGUUGCUGUACAAUGCUAGCCAACAAUUAAUGAGGUUUAAGUAAACACCGGCUCAGAUUUCCUUUUUGAGGUAUAUGGAAGAAUCUUAAUAGGGCAUGCAUAAGUAUUUGGUGCUUGCAUUAUUAGAUCGGGUUUGACCCUGUUCCGGUUCUAUCUGUGCGUUGGCUAUGAUCAGGUCUACAUUUCAUGAAAAGUUUCUGCUCUACCAUAUCAAAUCAAAGAACUCCUUCCAUAGUGCUUGCAGUACUAUACAUUGGGCAGUAUGUUAAUAACUUAUAAGAACUGCCUUCUCAUUCGUGAAUAGGGGCUUUGCACGAGAGACUGGAAUAUCUGAGAGACUGGAAUAUCUGAUGGUGUGAAAGAAGAGAAAGCACAGUGUAUUUGGUGCUCACUUUUUAUGAUUCAUGUGCAUCAUAUAAUAAUGUAAGAGCAGGAUUAGGAUUUCCUUUUGUCGAUACAAUGACUGAAGAAGUAAGAGUAAAUGGUCAGUUCUAAUUUGUUGGGUGCGAUGAUGGAGAAGACAAACAAGAGAAGUCGAAUUAGUAUUUGUAUUUCUUUGGCUCAAAUGCAGGGGUGUAUAUGGCUGUUCAAUGUGCAUUUAGUUGUCUAUAUAUUUUCUGUAUUAUUUUUGUUUGAAACCAAUGUAUUUGAAGUGCAUGGAGUAUGAUUGCUAGUAGAAGCAAUUGGCAGAAAACCAAGAGUACACCUAGAGGACGCAAAGGUAAAUACUCGAAUGCGCAGGAUACGAUCACGAAAGAAAAUACCAAAACCUUAUUUUAAGUACGAGUUGAAUUUAUUGCAUCGCGAAUUGUAUAUACAGUUUAGACUUUUACUACUUGGCAAGUACAUAUUUGUUGUUUGGUUUUA